Molecule: small RNA, 321 nt
Filed under: Pan troglodytes (chimpanzee)
Lineage: Eukaryota; Metazoa; Chordata; Mammalia; Primates; Hominidae
Description: processed transcript
Source: RNAcentral
AGCUGGGGAAGAGGCAGAUGACUGAGGAAUCAGAGUUCUGAUUGUGGAGUGCCUCUCUCUAGGACGGGGCUGCAGCAUAGGAGUCUCAGCUGCUUACAUCCAGGUCCAGGAUUAUGUCUGCUAACAGACGCUGGUGGGUACCACCUGACGACGAAGACUGUGUGUCUGAGAAGCUCCUGAGGAAGACUCGGGAAUCUCCGCUGGUGCCUAUAGGUCCCCCGCAACGCCCACCCCCCGCCACCAGAUGCUGCAUAAAACCAGCUGUUUAUCUAGAUGCCCAGCCUGCCUGGUAAGGUAUCUCUCAUCAGGGGAGUGCUGUGC